Cinara cedri is the source of this 300-nucleotide non-coding RNA. The record is from the annotation of a GenBank genome assembly. NCBI's taxonomy places the organism in Eukaryota, Metazoa, Arthropoda, Insecta, Hemiptera, Aphididae.
UUUCAAAUAUUUAUACAAUAAACUAUAUCAAAGAAAAAAAUGUGUCUCGUUUAAUUCAAAAUAUAAUUCAUACGAAAUGGGCGUAUUGUAAUAUAUUAUACAUGAGAGCAUUUAUUGUGAAAACUCCUAAAAAAAAUCAAAAAAAUUACCUUUUUAAAGUACCACCACAGUCAGAUUUUGUUUUAGAAUAUGUGCUAAUAUAAUAAUUUGGGGAAAAUUGCUAGUAGAAAAGUUGUCCACAGAAAAGAAAGAUCUGAUACUGGGGAUGGAAGCGGCCACAGUUUUCGGUGAGUAUUUGGG